GGAUUACUCCUUUACGCUUUCGCGUUUGGUUGAUAAAGAUUCGCACCUCUAUCAAACCGGGUAAUCCCACCUCUUGGCAAGACCUGCUGUCAGAUCAAAUCUGAACUACUACAAUUCAUACCUGGGCUACAAAAGUCCAAACCAAUAUGAGGCUGAAAUGGAAAUGUUG
Molecule: small RNA, 169 nt
Filed under: Nitrosomonas europaea ATCC 19718
Lineage: Bacteria; Pseudomonadati; Pseudomonadota; Betaproteobacteria; Nitrosomonadales; Nitrosomonadaceae
Description: Proteobacterial sRNA psRNA2
Rfam family: Proteobacterial sRNA psRNA2
Source: Rfam by way of RNAcentral